This 2550-nucleotide long non-coding RNA is filed under the name Marmota monax (woodchuck). The record is from RNAcentral. Lineage: Eukaryota; Metazoa; Chordata; Mammalia; Rodentia; Sciuridae.
GCCCCAGUCCUUGAAUUACUUCUGAUGAGAAUAGAUUGCUGUGAGGAUUGUUGGGAAAACAUAUAACGGCAGCAACACCCCAGAGAAAAACCCCAACAUGGCGCCUAACGACCCUCUUUCUCUUCUUUUUUUUCUUUCACUGGCACGAAACGUUCCCGCCGGCGCCAAUGUUCAAAUCCUGCGGGUGGGAAGCCUUAGCCCCAAUAAGAAUUAACUUCUUGAGCUCUGGAACUGACAUAUGGAAGAGCUUGCCAAUAAACGGGCGACCUGUUAUCUACCUCAGCCCUGCUACCUCUCCUUAGAUUUAUAUAAACACACAGCCUUUUGUAAUAAAUUGGAACCUCUCCGGUGAUCUGUGUCAUGUGGUGUCUCCCAUUCGUAGUGCGGUGCGGUGUCUUACAGUGGUGCCGAAAACCCGGGAGACGGUGGCUCGACAAACCGAGCCCCCGUCUCUGUCACUGCCAUCACCAACGACACAUUUCACCCUUGUCUGUCUUUUUGGGCGCUGGCUCCCUGCACUCACCACUGAUCGGGUUUAGGUAAGUUCCCCCUCCCCGGCUCACCAACUCCCUUCGGGCUGCCAGCAGGGGAUGCGACCGUGAUUGUCCAGCACGCUCCUGAUGCCCAGUAGGGAGGAGGGAAUGCACCCCACUAAGACCUUCACUGGUCGCAGUGGACCCUCUGGUGACCCGCUUCCCUUUGGGGCGUGAGGCUUCUGGGUUUACACGAGAGAGGCUCCCUAUUUUCUUCCUCCUCCGCAGGAGCUGCGUCCUGCUGGAGCUGCAUCCUGCGGGAGCUGCGUCCUGCGGGAGCUGCGUCCUGCUGGAGCUGCGCCCGCUGAAGCCGCGCCCCGCCGGAGCUGUCUUCAGCCCGGAGUUGAACUUACGGCCCGAAGCUGUGCUCUGCUGGGGUUCUGUCCUUUCCUUCCUUGACUCUCUCUCGUUCUGGUGGAAAAAUUUUCCUGACAUCAGGUUGCCCACGGCCUCGACCUUACAGGGUCACACAGACUGCACUUCGUUGGUGACAACCGAGCUGUGCCCUCUGUGCCUACUCGCAGUGGACUGGUCACUUUGGGGACACCCACGUAAUCCUCCAUCUGCUCUACACUUCCAGGAAGCCCCUAGAGCCCGGUUUAAUUCUUUUUCUCCCUUUGCUGUCCCUUCCUCCACUCUCUAACUAUGGGUGCCUCCUCAUCUAUACCGGAAACCUCACCACUCAAGUGUCUCCUUAAGAAUUUGGCUACUCUCUCUCUCUCCCCGGACCUCAAGCCCAAAAUUCUUAUCAGAUUCUGUACCCAAGAUUGGCCCGCAUAUCCAUUAGAUAAUGACAGUCAUUGGCCUCCAGAAGGCUCGUUAGAUCCAAAUUUCCUCCGGGACCUUUUAACUAUUGCCAGCGCCUGAAAGGGUAGAAAGAGGUUCCCAGGUCUUCCCGUCCUGCCUUCUGCUCUCUGCUCCUGAUCUUCCUUCUAGGCCCUUCCCUUCCCUCUUUAUGUCUGCUCUCCCUCCCAGCGGUACCACGUCCACGUCCCCUCCCUCUCCCUGCUGCAGCCACUGCCCACGGCCCUGCCUGCGCACUUCCCCUCCUCUUCCUCCGCGGAGACAUCCCCUCCCCUCCUCUACCUCAGCCCUGCUACCUCUCCUUAGAUCUAUAUAAACACACAGCCUUUUGUAAUAAAGUGGAAACUUUCCGGUGAUUUGUGUUGUGUGGCGUCUCCCAUUCGUAGUGUGGUGCGGCGUCUUACAAGGAUGGCCUUAGGCCUGAGCCUAAGCAACUCCAUUUUGAAAACUCCAGUCUCAUUAAGCACACCAACAGAGCCCUCCAGAAUGGCCUCAGACAAGUUACUUCCCCCAACCCUGAUAAACAGAAUGAAGCCUCUGGCAGGCUGUCCUCACCUGCUAAGAGGGAAAAGCAAGAAGAUCAGGGUGGAGACCACUAGACCAGAUGUUUCUGACCCCAGAGUAAACGAUAUCAUGGAGAAAUCUGGUGGUAGCUGAUAAGGAUUGAAAGGGGUGGGGGUCAAAAGCCCCAGAAUUUAGUAUAAAUAAUAGAGCUAAUAAACAGGGAUUCAGCCAGCCGAAACAAGGAUGCACUCAAGCUGGAGAGCCUGAUGAAGACCUGGACUGACAUCCCAUCACUUGUCAUCGUUUUCCUGAUCCUUGGCGUGAUCCUCACCGCUCUCAAACUCUACUGCCUCCUCUGGAUCUUGGUGAGAGCUGCAACUUCUCCCUGCAACCCUCUCCUCAACCAGUCAUCCACUCCAUUCCAAGAGAAGCCUGCCUUGGUUCUGGACCUGAUCAUCAGGGUCUGAGUGAGUGUCCAUCUGCUGGACUUAACACCUAAGGCUUGAGACUUUUGAUGUGACACUUGAACACUUGAACUUAGCAUGCAGAGGGAAUGUCUGUCAUUAGCCUGUCAUGAUUAAGUGUUUGCAGUGCUUAGAAUUAAUCUAGAAUAGUUUGCUGUGAACUAAUUAAUCUAGAAUUGUUUGCUGUGAAUUGAUUAUGUCUCUUGCAGCACCUAGCAUUAAGGAUUUCUUGAUUAAAAACCUAU